RNAcentral lists this ribosomal RNA (1113 nucleotides) under uncultured organism. Its description in RNAcentral is "bacterial SSU rRNA". It matches the Rfam family "Bacterial small subunit ribosomal RNA", at positions 195 to 1292 of the family's 1533-position model. The record is from RNAcentral.
CGCUAAAGUGUGGCCUCUUCUAUGCUGCCGGGUUGGGAUCGGCCCGCGUCCCAUUAGCUAGUUGGUGAGGUAACGGCUCACCAAGGCCACGAUGGGUAGCCGGCCUGAGAGGGUGUACGGCCACACUGGCACUGAGACAAGGGCCAGUCCCCUAUGGGAGGCGCAGGCGGGAAUAGUUCACAAUGGGCGAAAGCCUGAUGACGCGACGCCGCGUGAGCGAAGAAGACCUUCGGGUUGUAAAGCUCUGUCAGGAGGGAAGAAGGCUCUACGGGUCAAUAGCCCGUGGGAUUGACGGUACCUCCAGAGGAAGCCCCGGCUAAAUACGUGCCAGCAGCCGCGGUAAUACGUAUGGGGCAAGCGUUGUCCGGAUUUACUGGGCGUAAAGGGCGCGUAGGCGGUUUGUUAAGUCGAAGGUGAAAUCCUCGGGCUCAACUCGAGAAUUGCCUUCGAUACUGGCAAACUAGAGUGGCGGAGAGGAAAGCGGAACUCUUGGUGUAACGGUGGAAUGUGUAGAUAUCAAGAGGAACACCGGUGGCGAAGGCGGCUUUCUGGACGCACACUGACGCUCAGGCGCGAAAGCGUGGGUAGCAAACAGGAUUAGAUACCCUGGUAGUCCACGCCAUAAACGAUGGGUACUAGGUGUCGAGGGUAUCGACCCCUCCGGUGCCGCAGUUAACGCACUAAGUACCCCGCCUGGGGAUUAUGGUCGCAAGGCUGAAACUCAAAGGAAUUGACGGGGCCCCGCACAAGCGGUGGAGCAUGUGGUUUAAUUCGACGCAACGCGAAGAACCUUACCUGGGCUUGACAUGCUUGGGACAGCGCUGGAAACAGCGUCUCUCCUUCGGGAGCCCUUGCACAGGUGCUGCAUGGCUGUCGUCAGCUCGUGUCGUGAGAUGUUGGGUUAAGUCCCGCAACGAGCGCAACCCUCGUUACUAGUUGCCAUCAGUUCGGCUGGGCACUCUAGUGAGACUGCCGGUGAUAAACCGGAGGAAGGUGAGGAUGAUGUCAAGUCAUCAUGGCCCUUACGCCCAGGGCUACACACGUGCUACAAUGGUCGGCACAAAGGGUCGCUAAGCCGCGAGGUGGAGCUAAUCCCAAAAAGCCGGCCUCAGU